This 998-nucleotide ribosomal RNA is filed under the name uncultured bacterium. Its description in RNAcentral is "bacterial SSU rRNA". It matches the Rfam family "Bacterial small subunit ribosomal RNA", at positions 38 to 1033 of the family's 1533-position model. The record is from RNAcentral.
GGAAGGGCGCAGCUACCAUGCAGUCGAGCGGAUGAGGGUAGCUUGCUACCUGAUUCAGCGGCGGACGGGUGAGUAAUGCCUAGGAAUCUGCCCGAUAGUGGGGGACAACGUUUCGAAAGGAACGCUAAUACCGCAUACGUCCUAUGGGAGAAAGUGGGGGAUCUUCGGACCUCACGCUAUCGGAUGAGCCUAGGUCGGAUUAGCUAGUUGGUGAGGUAAUGGCUCACCAAGGCGACGAUCCGUAACUGGUCUGAGAGGAUGAUCAGUCACACUGGAACUGAAACACGGUCCAGACUCCUACGGGAGGCAGCAGUGGGGAAUAUUGGACAAUGGGCGAAAGCCUGAUCCAGCCAUGCCGCGUGUGUGAAGAAGGUCUUCGGAUUGUAAAGCACUUUAAGUUGGGAGGAAGGGCAGUAAGUUAAUACCUUGCUGUUUUGACGUUACCAACAGAAUAAGCACCGGCUAACUUCGUGCCAGCAGCCGCGGUAAUACGAAGGGUGCAAGCGUUAAUCGGAAUUACUGGGCGUAAAGCGCGCGUAGGUGGUUCAGCAAGUUGGAUGUGAAAGCCCCGGGCUCAACCUGGGAACUGCAUCCAAAACUACUGAGCUAGAGUACGGUAGAGGGUGGUGGAAUUUCCUGUGUAGCGGUGAAAUGCGUAGAUAUAGGAAGGAACACCAGUGGCGAAGGCGACCACCUGGACUGAUACUGACACUGAGGUGCGAAAGCGUGGGGGAGCAAACAGGAUUAGAUACCCUGGUAGUCCACGCCGUAAACGAUGUCAACUAGCUGUUGGGUUCCUUGAGAACUUAGUAGCGCAGCUAACGCGAUAAGUUGACCGCCUGGGGAGUACGGCCGCAAGGUUAAAACUCAAAUGAAUUGACGGGGGCCCGCACAAGCGGUGGAGCAUGUGGUUUAAUUCGAAGCAACGCGAGACCUUACCUGGCCUUGACAUGCUGAGAACUUUCCAGAGAUGGAUUGGUGCCUUCGGGAACUCAGAC